RNA transcript from Lutzomyia longipalpis, 3076 nucleotides. It is a transcript of the gene named glutaredoxin domain-containing cysteine-rich protein CG31559-like, with no coding region annotated. The record is from RefSeq and is a predicted model, not a curated record. The transcript has 5 exons. Lineage: Eukaryota; Metazoa; Arthropoda; Insecta; Diptera; Psychodidae.
AGUCUCGAGAAUCAGUUGGCUCGAAUCGCGACUCCAUCUCCUCGAUGAGGUGUGCCCGCACCGUUAUAAAAUUGCAAAGAAUCAUCAUUACACGUCGUUUUUAACUUUAUAAAUACAAAAUUAUUUCUUUGGUGAUUUCCUCAAUUGGAAAGUGGUGUAUAUAGAUACAAUUUUUUGUGUGAAGAAUAUUUUUUUUUCAACAAAUAAGUGCAAAACACUUUUCUGCAGAAGAGAAUAAUUUCCACAGAGUGCAGUGUUGGCACAAAAAUCCCCCAUACAUCGCAAGGUACCUAACAACAACCACGGGGCAUUCUCUUGCGAGUGAUCUUGGUGGAUGGAUGAUUUUUUUUCCAUCUUCAAGAAAGUGCAGUGUGUGUACAAAUUAAUAUUGCAAUAAAUUGUGAAUUUCCACGUGGAAUUUGUGUGUGCAACUCACCUGAACGAGAUUCCCUUUUAGUUGGUGCAGGCAGCGAGUUCCAAGAAAGCCCCAGCUCACAGUACCCGUGUAUCGGAUGGAGCUGUAGGGAAUUUUUCCAUAUUUUUCUUUGAAUCUUCUUCCAGUUAAAUACAGGCGAAGAUCGGUGGUCCGGGUGUUGCAACGAGAUGGAGUCUUCGCGGCCCAAAGUCACCCAGUCUUCGAUGUCUUCAGCGAGUGCCAAGAGUGGUGGAGCAACAGUGUACAUCCCCUCCCCAUCGUUGCUUCUCCAGCGCACGCAACGCGUCUACUCAAGUGCACUGACCGCAACGACGGCAGCGACAUCGCUACCUGGGGAACAUCACCAGUUGCCGAAGACGAGCCACGUUGUGAAGAUUCAAAUCCCACGGAUUGAGCAUCAAUCGGCCCCGAGAGUCGAUGGUGUUCAGACGUCCACACACACCAAAAGCUCCACGAGAGUAUCAAUUGUGCCAAUUGUCGUAGAUCGUGUGCCCAAUAAGUUAUCAAAGGAUUCCCAGGCACCCUUUCAACAUCACACGGAUCAACCCAAAAUAACGGAUAUGGUGCAGAAGCACGAAAAUCCUGCCACGGAAUUGGAUGUCGUGACAAAUUCCUCAUACCUCUACUACAUCCCCAAUAGUAUGAGGAGUAGCGGGCAGUGUUCACCGGAUACAUUGGAUAGUGGUACGUGCAGCGAUAUGGAGGCCACACCACCUCCCUUGCCUAAGAAAAUGUCCAAGAUGCCCGUACCUGGUGGCAGUGGAUCUGUGUCACCGGUGCACCAGCAACAGGCAUCAAGUACCCCAUCGGGUAGCCCACAGCCACCCGUGAAUGGGCGUCACGUGCGCAACGGGAGUGUCACGGACAGUGAAGAAAGUGAAUCGAGUUUAAGUUGUGAUUCCCUCAAUUGUGGCGAUGUGCUAGUGGAGAAGAGUGAUGGGGGUAAAAUGCUCCUGCCCGAUUCGCUCCUCAAGGAUAUUCGGAAGCGUUCGGCGGAGCAGGAAAGUGAUGUUAAAGUGGAUUUCACGAUAGCUUCAAUGCAACAUCGUGAUGAAAUUGCGGGGGAUAAGGAUCUCGAUCCUAUCUAUGAUCGCUUUUACAAAUUCUACAUUAAUGAAUAUGUGCAGGAUCCUGUCACGGAGGGUGAACCCAAAAUUGUUGAUACAUCCGAUGAGAGCUUUGCUGGCUUCCGUGACAUUCACAGCGGUACUUCGACCAUACGUAGUGCCAAAGGUACCAUACGUGGCGUGAAGAAUCGCGUGAGAAAUGGCAUUGUCACCUUCCAACAGAUGCAGUCCAAUCUACUAAAGAAUUACAAAGAGAAAGAUGCCGGUAAGGUGGUCCUCUAUACAACAAGCAUGGGAAUUGUACGAGAAACAUAUGCCAAAUGUAAUUGCGUUAAGCAAAUUCUACGGACGCUUUUGGUUAAAUUCGAGGAGCGUGAUGUCUUCAUGAGCACAGAAUAUCAGCAGGAGAUUAAAGAUCGAAUGCAAUGUGAUAAUAUUGAUGUACCACAGCUAUUUGUCGACGGUCAACAUAUUGGGAAUGCAGAUACCGUUGAACGGCUAAACGAAGAAGGUGAACUGAGGAAAAUGCUUAAAGCCUAUAAGGUAAAGAAAUGUUCAAGAAACAUGUAGAUAGUAUACCGCAGGUGAUAUGCCUUUAUCUGAUCGUUUUUGUUUCUUUCUAUGUAAAAAUCCGAAAAAUCUCGUUUUUCGGGCUUCUCUCCAUUAAAAUUCUUCCUCUUGCCCAUCAGGGAAGUAAAAUGCAAAUUCCACCUCUUGAUGUGGGCAAUAACUUACACUGCCCGCGAUGCUUAAAAAUGUUUUCUUUAAGUAAAAGUUUUACCAUACGCACAGUUAUGCUGUAGAAAACUAACAGUGAACGAUUGGAUUUUUAUCAAAAAUUCAUUCACAGCGGGUUUUUUCUAUGAAUUACAUUAUUCUGUUUUAUUUUCCUGGGAGCAACAUAACAAAAAUAUUAUAUUUCACAAUUUAAACAAAUUAAAAUUGUAUAAUUUAACACUCUAUUUUUAGAGAUUUCAAUUGAAUUAAUUAGAAGUUGCGUAACGAUGAAUUAACAUUUCCUAAUGGUUUACAGUUUAUCUCAAUUUUUUUUUUAUAAAUUUGUUCUUUGAAUAUUUUUAUUUGAAUUAAUUCCAAAAUAAUUAUUUGGAGCAAUUUUUUCAUGUUUUUAUUUAUUUUUAAUUUAAAACGCACGUGAAGAUCAUAAAAACGUAAUAUUUCAGUAAAUGCGAGAUAAACAAGAAAAUGAUUCAACGGACUAAGCAAUAAAAGAGAUUAUGUUACUCAAUAAUUUAAAGGGUUUUUUGACCAGGUUGGGUAGUCAAUGGAUCCAAUAAUUUUGGAAACUGUUGAUUCUGUCAGAAAUAAUUUCUUUUCAUACAAUUUGUAUUAUUUUUCGAUAUUUUGAAAUCUAGAAUUCAUAAAUUUAUAGCUGAGACACAUUUUGUGCAAUAAAAUAAGGAAUUAGAGACAUUUUCUUCUUGAAAAACUUGAGGAGAUGCUUAUGGACAAUUUAGAAUUUUAUAUCAUGCCAUCUAACAUUAAAUCUCUUUAAUAGAAAGUAAAAAAUAAAUUUAAAAAAAUAUUUUGAUACUCUGCGUUGAUACCACUGCUU